RNAcentral lists this long non-coding RNA (329 nucleotides) under Mytilus galloprovincialis (Mediterranean mussel). The record is from RNAcentral. Lineage: Eukaryota; Metazoa; Mollusca; Bivalvia; Mytilida; Mytilidae.
UUUUACAUUAUUAUAGCAUAAAUCCUAUAUAAUACUUGAAACUGCAUCUCGGUGCCAAAAAUGUAUAUUUAGUGACGAGCUAAAACCAAUAAAAUUGAGAAUGGAAAUGGGGAAUGUCCGAUCUUUUGUCAUUUACAGCUUUUCAACCUGACUUCACCAUUGUACGCUGAAUAUUUAACCCUCUAAAAAAAUUAAGAUUAAUUUUUUGAAAUAUUCUUAUCAAUCUUAGUGAACCAUUACUUGAUUUGAUGAUUUUGGAAACUAUGUAGACUUCUUCCAUUACUUGGUCGGGUAGAACAUCCAUCAGCUUGACAAGUCAUUUGAACACU